CAUUUGUCAGAGAGAGAAUACUCCUCCAUGGACGUUACAUGUUUAUAGAACCUGAAAAAAACAGCAGGCAGGUCUUAAGAGAUGGAAUACACAAAGAAAUGACUCUUGAGAAUCCCUUGGACUGCAAAGAGAUCCAACCAGUCAAUCCCAAAGUCAGUCCUGAAUAUGCAUUGGAAGGACUGAUGCUGAAGCUGAAACUCCAAUCCUUUGGCCACCUGAUGUGAAGAACUGACUCAUUGGCAGAGACUCCGAUGCUGAAAGAGUGAAGGCCGGAGUAGAAGGGGACGACAGAGGAUGAGAUGGCUGGAUGGCAUCACCGACUCGAUGGACAUGAAUUUGAGUAAGCUCUGGGAGUUGGUGAUGGACAGGGAGGCCUGGCAUGCUGCUGUCCAUGGGGUCGCAAAGAGUUGGACACGACUGAGCAACUGAACUGAAGAUUCCUAUUAUUCAUAUGCAGGAGACCCAGUUUGAUUCCUGGAUCCCGAAGAUUCCCUGGAGAAGGGAUAGGCUACCCAUUCCAGUAUUCUUCCCUGGAGAAUUCCAUGAACCGAGGAGCCUGGCAAGUGCAGAGGGUCACAAAGAGUCGGACAUGGCUGAGCAGCUAAGCACAGCACCAUAGGCUGCUCCUUUUAUCCAGUGAGCAUCUUGCUAGGUUUCUCACGUACUGCCUUCAGCAGGAGCCUGGUGCCCUCCUGUAGUUUAUUAUCCAGAAUGGACCCCUUUGAGCAAACACUGUACAACCUUAGAAUCAAGCAGAUAGAGAGCACACUUUGAGAAAGACUGUACUGCGUCUCCCAGUAAAAGUCAUCCCUGAUGGAAGAAGUGUUCUCUCCUCCCAUGGGGUGCAGAGUCUGGAGGUGAUAUCAGAAGUGCUCGGGCGUCCAGCACGGAUGCUGCAGGGCAGUUCAUCCCCGGCAUCUUCCCGCUCCCGCAGCCCUGCAGGGGAGACCACGGAGGCCCCAGUGUGCUGGAGAACAGAGCAAGUAUCAAAGAACCCAGUCCCUUGCAGAACCAGGCAUGCUCCCAUCUCCACCCAAGUUUAACGUGUUGUCCAGUCAGUAACAGCCCCCUUCCUUGCAGAAGUGUUGCCUAGGACUGUCCCCCACCCUAAAUCUUGCUCAUAAUUAAGUUCAAGAACAGAAUUAGACAAUAGUCAGACUACAAAGCAGGCAGCAGUGGGCAGGGGGCAGGAGCACAGACUUUGGAGUCAGACCUGGGAUCGACACAAUUCACUAGUCAUGUGAUUGUGGACAAGCUUUUGAACUACAGUGAGGAUCAGUUUCUUCUGCAAAAACGGGAAUAAUCCCUGCUUCGCCAGACUGUGGUGAGAAUUGAAGAGCACAACUUGAUGUUUGCAUUUUAUUUCCUUCUUGUCCCUAGAACAGCAUGUAAUGUUAUUUCCAGGAGGCAGAAAAAGCAUAAGACUUUAUCUAGAGUCCUGAAUAAUUGAUAAAAAUUUUGCGUCUCUUCUUUUUUUUGGUUAUGGUAUCAGAGGAAGUACAGUCAUAUUUUCUCAGCUUCAAACAACCACAUAGGACAGUACAAUUAGGAAAUGGAGAAUCUCAUUUGAACACUGUUUGGAAUCUUAUUUACAGGCAGAAUUCGAAAACAGGACAAAAGAAAACUCCAUUCUUGUAUUGGAGGAUCAUCUACUUAAUGCAGUUACAGAACACUAACAUUUUUUCUGGCACAUUAGAGAUAGAUAAGAUUGGCACUUAUCGGGGUCUUAUUUGAAUGAUCUGAACACUCACCUGUGGCUACAGAGGAGGAGCCUGUGCUUUUCCUGCCUAGGACACUUGGAAGAGUUGCACACCUGGCUCAG
Long non-coding RNA from Bos taurus (domestic cattle), 1822 nucleotides. The record is from Ensembl. NCBI's taxonomy places the organism in Eukaryota, Metazoa, Chordata, Mammalia, Artiodactyla, Bovidae.